GAUGAACGCUGGCGGCGUGCCUAAUACAUGCAAGUCGAGCGAACGGACGAGAAGCUUGCUUUUCUGAUGUUAGCGGCGGACGGGUGAGUAACACGUGGAUAACCUACCUAUAAGACUGGGAUAACUUCGGGAAACCGGAGCUAAUACCGGAUAAUAUUUUGAACCGCAUGGUUCAAAAGUGAAAGACGGUCUUGCUGUCACUUAUAGAUGGAUCCGCGCUGCAUUAGCUAGUUGGUAAGGUAACGGCUUACCAAGGCAACGAUGCAUAGCCGACCUGAGAGGGUGAUCGGCCACACGGGAACUGAGACGCGGUCCAGGCUCCUACGAGGGGCAGCAGUAGGGAAUCUGCCGCAAUGGGCGAAAGCCUGACGGAGCAACGCCGCGUGAGUGAUGGAGGUCUUCGGAUCGGAAAACUCUGUUAUUGGGGAAGAACAUAUGUGUAAGUAACUGAGCACAGCGUGACGGUACCUAAUCAGAAAGCCACGGCUAACUACGUG
This 497-nucleotide ribosomal RNA is filed under the name uncultured bacterium. RNAcentral's name for it is "partial 16S ribosomal RNA". It matches the Rfam family "Bacterial small subunit ribosomal RNA", at positions 28 to 507 of the family's 1533-position model. The record is from RNAcentral.